This is a long non-coding RNA of Psammomys obesus (fat sand rat), 1275 nucleotides long. RefSeq lists it as uncharacterized. The transcript is spliced from 2 exons. The record is from RefSeq and is a predicted model, not a curated record. NCBI's taxonomy places the organism in Eukaryota, Metazoa, Chordata, Mammalia, Rodentia, Muridae.
CAAAGUUCACGGCCACCGGGGCAGGGCCUGGCCGGGCAGGGCGCUCCGGGCAGCAGGGGCAGCCCUGGCAGGCCCGGGCCGGGAGGGCGCGGCGCCCGGCCGGGAGGCCGCCCGGGGACCCCGCCGAGCCGCGGGCCCACCUGUGACGAGGCUCACUUUGGCCAAUCAAACCCCACCGAAAACCUCUGGCUCCCUAGGAGGGCCUCUACCUAAGGACUCCAUCUCAUGAAUGCUGGGGAGGAAAGGGCUUUGGCAUUUCCCAGGGCCGACUUGAAGACUGCCACCCACUGACAAAACCCUUCAUACAGCCCAUGAGUGCACCUGCUAGCCGGCAUCACACAUUCACACCUGAGGGGACAAAGUGACUGACCCAGGACACCAAACAGUAGUCACAGUCAGCAGCCAGAGAGUGAAAUGAAAACCGCAGUGAAGUGAAAGGGACAGAGGUGCCACACAAGUAACAGUGACCCUGGGUGUCCCCAGAUUCCCAGGAUCACUGCCUGGAAUAGCUUGGAAGCCACUGGAGAGCUGACCCCAGGGACCAGAGCAAGAUGCUCCCAGAGAGCAAGAGCUUUCUAGGAAGCACAAGGUGCAGGCCCAAGAGAUGCCAAGUGGGCAGUUCCAAGCCGUGACACGAAGUCACUUGGAGUGGUCUGAAAGGGUCUCCCAGAGACAAAGGGAAAUGGGCUAAGACACAAGUGGAGAAAGCACCCCGAAGGAUCUAUCUAACUUCAGGACUCCAUGGGUUUAAGCAGGGGUGAGCAUCGGAUUUGCAUAUUGGAAGAUGGCCACCAGUGUCUACAGCCACAGCCUUCUGAAGGACCCCAACCUUGGAAGCUAAGCAGAGUCAAACCUGGAAAUAUAUAGAUGAGAGAAUGAUUGGUGGCAACAAAGGUCAGGGAGAAGCUGAGAAGAAAGAAAAUGGUACCUAUUUAAGAUGUGGUGACCUUUCCCAGCGGUGGUGGCUUGCACCUGUCAUCCCAGUAUUCAGGAGGCUGAGGCAAGAGUCUCCAGGAGUUCCAGGCCAGCAAAACUCUACCUACCGGAAACAAAAAGACUUGGCGACUUCCUAGGAGGAGAGAUACCAAACUGUUCACAGGAUGCACACGUUUGAGGCUCAGAGGGUGGUAGGCAGAUGGCGUGAACCUGGCUGUGUAUGAAGGAGCAACUGUACUCAGGGGAAGGAAGGGCCAGACAGGUCCAGUUUUCUACAUAUGUGAACUUGAGCUGAGCCAUACUCUGACACCUAAUAAAAGCUGGGAGAGUCUGAGCAAG